UACGGAGGGUGCGAGCGUUAUCCGGAAUCACUGGGUUUAAAGGGUGCGUAGGCGGGAAGAUAAGUCAGGGGUGAAAUCUCGUCGCUUAACGACGGAAUUGCCUUUGAUACUGUUUUUCUUGAAAUAUGUUGAGGUUGGCGGAAUGAGACAUGUAGCGGUGAAAUGCUUAGAUAUGUCUUAGAACACCGAUUGCGAAGGCAGCUGACUGGACAUUAUUUGACGCUGAGGCACGAAAGCGUGGGGAUCAAACAGG
Molecule: ribosomal RNA, 253 nt
Filed under: uncultured Lewinella sp.
Lineage: Bacteria; Pseudomonadati; Bacteroidota; Saprospiria; Saprospirales; Lewinellaceae
Description: partial 16S ribosomal RNA
Rfam family: Bacterial small subunit ribosomal RNA
Source: RNAcentral